Molecule: ribosomal RNA, 1121 nt
Filed under: Lasiosphaeriella sp.
Lineage: Eukaryota; Fungi; Ascomycota; Sordariomycetes
Description: eukaryotic LSU rRNA
Rfam family: Eukaryotic large subunit ribosomal RNA (bases 543-1121)
Source: RNAcentral
CGAGUCUCCGGACUUCUAAACCAUUGUGAACCUUACCUUUGUCCAAGUUGCUUCGGCGGCCGGCACCUCGUCAGGGGCGCCGCCGUGGCCCGCCCGUUGGGUGGCCGCCGGGCGACGACCCAAACAAACCAUUGCGUAUCAGUUAGUUACCUCUGAGUCUAUUACCAUAAAACGUAAUUAAAACUUUCAACAAUGGAUCUCUUGGCUCUGGCAUCGAUGAAGAACGCAGCGAAAUGCGAUAAGUAAUGCGAAUUGCAGAAUUCAGUGAAUCAUCGAAUCUUUGAACGCACAUUGCGCCCGCCAGCACUCUGGCGGGCAUGCCUGUCCGAGCGUCAUUUCAACCCUCGGGGCCCGCGCCUUUACCGGCCGGGCACCGGUGUUGGGGCCCUGCGAAGCACCGCCUACGCAGCCCCCUAAAGAAAUCGGCGGACCCGCAGAGGCACCCGAGCGCAGUAGAACCUCUCCUCGCUGUGGGCUGUCCCGGUGGGCUUCCGGCCGCUAAAGCCCUAGGAGGGUGCAAGCCCCCCUAGACCUCGAAAUUUUGACCUCGGAUCAGGUAGGAAUACCCGCUGAACUUAAGCAUAUCAAUAAGCGGAGGAAAAGAAACCAACAGGGAUUGCCCCAGUAACGGCGAGUGAAGCGGCAACAGCUCAAAUUUGAAAUCUGGCAGCAAUGCCCGAGUUGUAAUUUGUAGAGGAUGCUUUCGGUGAGGCGCCUUCUGAGUUCCCUGGAACGGGACGCCACAGAGGGUGAGAGCCCCGUAUAGUCGGACGCCGAACCAGUGUAUAGCUCCCUCGACGAGUCGAGUAGUUUGGGAAUGCUGCUCUAAGCGGGAGGUAAAAUCCUUCUAAAGCUAAAUACCGGCCAGAGACCGAUAGCGCACAAGUAGAGUGAUCGAAAGAUGAAAAGCACUUUGAAAAGAGGGUUAAAAAGCACGUGAAAUUGUUGAAAGGGAAGCGCCUGUGACCAGACUUGCGCCCGGCGGAUCAUCCGGCGUUCUUCGCCGGUGCACUCCGCCGGGCUCAGGCCAGCAUCGGCUCUCCCGGGGGGAUAAAGGCGGCGGGAACGUAGCUCUCUUCGGGGAGUGUGAUAGCCCGCCGCGGAAUGCCUCCAGGGGGGCC